RNAcentral lists this ribosomal RNA (538 nucleotides) under uncultured bacterium. RNAcentral's name for it is "bacterial SSU rRNA". It matches the Rfam family "Bacterial small subunit ribosomal RNA", at positions 1 to 508 of the family's 1533-position model. The record is from RNAcentral.
CGAUGCUCUAGAUUAGUAGUUGAUCAUGGCUCAGAAUCAACGCUGGCGGCGUGCCUAACACAUGCAAGUCGAACGCGAAAGUCCCGCAAGGGAUCAGUAGAGUGGCAAACGGGUGAGUAACGCGUGGGUGACCUGCCUUCGAGCGGGGGAUAACGUUCCGAAAGGGACGCUAAUACCGCAUAACAUCCUGCCUUUUUAAGAGGCGGAGAUCAAAGCCUGGGACCGCAAGGCCAGGCACUCGAAGAGGGGCCCGCGUCCGAUUAGCUAGUUGGUGGGGUAAUGGCUCACCAAGGCUCCGAUCGGUAUCCGGCCUGAGAGNGGCGGACGGACACACUGGGACUGAGACACGGCCCAGACUCCUACNGGAGGCAGCAGUGGGGAAUUGUUCGCAAUGGGCGCAAGCCUGACGACGCAACGCCGCGUGGAGGAUGAAGAUCUUCGGGUCGUAAACUCCUUUCGAUCGAGACGAACGGNCUCUGGGUGAACUAUCCAUGGGGAGUGACGGUACCGAGAGAAGAAGCCCCGGCUANCUCCGUGC